GGACCCGCACAAGCAGUGGAGCAUGUGGUUUAAUUCGACGCAACGCGAAGAACCUUACCAGCGUUUGACAUGAGAAGUGCCGGUUACAGAAUGGUAACCUUCAGUUCGGCUGGCUUCUACACAGGUGCUGCAUGGCUGUCGUCAGCUCGUGUCGUGAGAUGUUGGGUUAAGUCCCGCAACGAGCGCAACCCUUAUCGUUAGUUACUAACAGUUCGGCUGAGGACUCUAGCGAAACUGCCGGUGAUAAGCCGGAGGAAGGUGGGGAUGACGUCAAGUCCUCAUGGCCCUUACACGCUGGGCUACACACGUGCUACAAUGGUCGGUACAGAGGGCCGCAAUCCCGCGAGGGGAGCCAAUCCCACAAAGCCGAUCGUUAGUCCGGAUCGCAGUCUGCAACUCGACUGCGUGAAGUUGGAAUCGCUAGUAA
This 427-nucleotide ribosomal RNA is filed under the name uncultured bacterium. RNAcentral describes it as "bacterial SSU rRNA". It matches the Rfam family "Bacterial small subunit ribosomal RNA", at positions 917 to 1341 of the family's 1533-position model. The record is from RNAcentral.